GAUGAACGCUGGCGGCGUGCCUAAUACAUGCAAGUCGAGCGAACAGACGAGGAGCUUGCUCCUCUGACGUUAGCGGCGGACGGGUGAGUAACACGUGGAUAACCUACCUAUAAGACUGGGAUAACUUCGGGAAACCGGAGCUAAUACCGGAUAAUAUAUUGAACCGCAUGGUUCAAUAGUGAAAGACGGUUUUGCUGUCACUUAUAGAUGGAUUCGCGCCGCAUUAGCUAGUUGGUAAGGUAACGGCUUACCAAGGCAACGAUGCGUAGCCGACCUGAGAGGGUGAUCGGCCACACUGGAACUGAGACACGGUCCAGACUCCUACGGGAGGCAGCAGUAGGGAAUCUUCCGCAAAGGGCGAAAGCCUGACGGAGCAACACCGCGUGAGUGAUGAAGGUCUUCGGAUCGUAAAACUCUGUUAUUAGGGAAGAACAAAUGUGUAAGUAACUAUGCACGUCUUGACGGUACCUAAACAGAAAGCCACGGCUAACUACGUG
This 497-nucleotide ribosomal RNA is filed under the name uncultured bacterium. RNAcentral describes it as "partial 16S ribosomal RNA". It matches the Rfam family "Bacterial small subunit ribosomal RNA", at positions 28 to 507 of the family's 1533-position model. The record is from RNAcentral.